This is a long non-coding RNA of Gallus gallus (chicken), 1276 nucleotides long. The record is from Ensembl. NCBI's taxonomy places the organism in Eukaryota, Metazoa, Chordata, Aves, Galliformes, Phasianidae.
AAUUCAGCCCGGUGCCUCCUACCCGCAAGUUUUAUCUGACAAAUGGGUCUCAUUUCUGAUUCUAGUCUCCUUUUGAUGGACCAGACUGUCUGCUACCUGGGAGAGGUUCAUAGAUCUGAAAGGCCGGAAGGAAGCAUUACAUUUCUUCUCCUUUGCCUCCUAUUAAGAAUGUGCCAGAGACGCUAAUCCCGCAUUUGAAUUUCAGCCAGGUAGCUGGAAGGGAUGGCUCAGCACCCAGCUCUGAUGGACAACCCAGCGCCGCUUCUCUUCGCGCCUUCCUGUGCUUCUCUUGCCUUUGGGCAGGAGGGAGGGGUCACCGGCGAGAGGAGCUUCCUCUGAAGCCGUCUCUUUCUUCACAAGGCAGAUGAGGAUGUUUUUCUGCAUUUCUGACGAAAUUUCUUCCCUUCAGAAGAAAAUGUGGCUGGUUUUGCAAUCGGCUCCCUCCUGGUAAUGAAAGCGGUGGGGCGACAGGGGGACAGCAGCAGGGGAAUCGGGGCUCACAUUCUGACAGCCGUAUACGAUAACAUCUCAGACACCUUCGUUUAUGCAGCUUAAACCACGUAAGUGGGUAAGACACGAUGUCCCCAUAGGCCAGCUGUGCCUUGCAAGCCGUAUGGUGUCUCAGCAUCUCAGGCACCUCUGCAGUGCACCCCUGCUAUUGCACUGAGCGCGUGCCUGACUCCGUAUCAGCUGCUACACCGCCCUCCUCUGAAGAGGAAUAUGGAUUACUGACCUGCUGAGAUGCAGCUCGGCUGCGCCUACAUUCCUCAUCCUGAAUUAUUUUUUCUUUGGUUGACAUUUGCAAGAGGGAUGGUGCUACUUGCAGAGGGACCUGCAGGGACACCGUGGGACUGCCCGCAGCACAGCUCCUCUGGCACUGCCUGGGCAGGGAACCCCGCAGUCCAGCACAAGCCAGCUCCCACCAGCACAUCAGCCUCUUGCAGUGUCUGGAUCCGAGCUGUUGCUAAUGAGGAUGGUGCUCAUCAUGUGAUCGUGCCUUUGGGCAAGGGUGGUGGUGCUGCUAAUUGGCUUCUCUGGCUGCGGUUUCCUUAGGAAACAAGGUGGAACCAAAGGAUGUGGGUGCACCUCUGCUAUGAUCUCUCCCGGUGUGUUGGUCCUGCGGCCCAGCCCUGGAUCAACACGUUUUCUAUCUUGUGUAUUUGAUCACCAGAGCUAUGAAAAUUGUGAAAUGAAGUUCUCCCGGCUAAAUCAAAUAGAAAGGAAGUGGCUUUGUAUCAAACCACUGAAUUAACACAAUUAUCAUAUCGAUUAAAUC